UUUUGCAACUACAAAGGGCCCAGAGUUUCCCUUGUGAAUGAGCUCAGCAUCCUCACGUUUCCAAGAGGAAUCAACACUGCAAUUCCUCGGACCACGGUGGCUCUCUUCCCAGCACACCUUUGCUGUGACCUGCACCCCUGCAUUGUCCUCAAAGACACACUAAGAAAACACAUUUCAGAAGGAAGGACGUAACGGAGCUCAUGAUCCUAUGCUCCCCAGUUGGACUCCAUGGGAUACUGUUUCAUAUCUUGUUCUAAUAGGCUCUUCUUUUCCAGAGUUUUUUAUUUUCCCUGGCAUUUUGUGUUUUGGUAAUUGCCUACAAGAAUAGUUCUAUAACAGAAAUCAACAAUGAAAACCAAAUUACCCCUGCCCACAUCCUUUCAUUCCUUUUUCAUCUCUAAUGAUAUUUUCUGUAUGAUGACUAACCCAGACUGACGUAAUUUAUCAAUUGAUCUUGACGAUGUACAUUAGAAAAUGCAUUCUGCAGGCCCCAGCAGGCCAUCUUCCAUGUGCGCCACGUAGCUUUAGAAAACCUAUUAGUGCAACAGAAAUAUCUAAAGCCCAGCCUUUUUGCUAAGAAUAUUAGAACUGGUGCUAAUUACUUUAUUAAUCAUAAAGUGAAACAGCCGUGCUAUGUCACCACAGCCGUAAAAUAAGUGGUUUUAUGGCAAAAGUAGUUAAAGAGAAAGGACAGAUUGGAUUUAUAUCAUGUUUAUCUACCAUUUAUUAAGUAUCUUAAUCAUAUCUCCUCCACAGAGAAGCAAACAUCCCCCUAUUCAAGGUUAAAAGAAGCGUUUGUCUUUGAAGCCCCACUAGAGCAGUUAUCUCUAGUGAACUAGGGUUUUUAAUGGCCUUUCACAAUAAUUACAAAUUUAAUUAACCUCUCUGCUUUGAUCAGUCACGGCUGUUUCUCAUUACCUUCCCCAAUGCCUGUUUCUGAGUCAAGAGCUAUUCCUGGGCCUUCCCUUUCCAGCUAUAAAGUACUGUUUAGGUUUAAUUUAGUCUGGCACAGCUGUAAAGAAAGCAACUCUCCUGCUCAACAGCCUCCAAUGACUCCCCGUUGACCACUGAAUUAAGUACAAACUCCUUAGCCCGGCAUUUGGGCCUUCCACAGUCUGGCCCCAGACCCCCUUCUAAUCUCAUCCCAACUCUUUUUUAAGCAAUCCUAUCUUUCCUUACCAUCUUUCAAAUUUAUUAAAUUCUUACAUACAUCAAGACUUACUUCUAACUUGUCUAUUCUCUUCAGUUGAACUGUCAGUUUCAGUGCCAGUCCCAUGCUGUUUUACAUAUUAUAACUUUAUAAUAUAUUUUAAUGCCUGAUGAGGCUAAUGCUAGUAUCUCCUCAUUACUUUUAUUUUGCCAAAAUAUUUGUCAGUAUACUUACCCAUUUAUUUUUUUCAGAUGAACUUCAGAUCUCCUUUGUUACAUUUCAAAAGAAUAUCUCUUGAUAUCUUAGUUAUGAUUGGGGAAGAACUGGCAUCUUCCUUUGUACAAACCCCUGGACUAUAUGAAUGAAAUGAAGAUGAGUAAUCUGCCAGGAAGAUUUGGAGAUCAAAUCCUAGACUUCUAACUCUUGGAAGUCUAUGUGACAAGGAAGGUAAACAAAUGGAAAACUUUAGUAGGAAUAUUUUUCUCCUCACUCUUUUUCUUACAUGUCACUGAUCUCUAAGACUUCAUGACUUGCCUUUUCUUGAUGCUUCCCGCACAGCUGUUUUCUUUUUCCUCACCACCAGCCCCCGAGCACGCACAGUGGAGGAAUGAGAGAAGCUUACAUAAAAAUAACUUUCUGGAGGCUGAAGUCCAAGGUCAAGGUCAAAGAGCCACAUCUGGUGAGGGCCUUCCUGCUGGUGGGGACUCUGCAGAACCCUGAAGCAUUGCAGGGCAUCACAUGGUGGGGGAGCUUGAGCACACCAAACUGGCUUUUACUAGAGACCCACUCUCAUGAUAACUAACCCACUCCUGUGAUAACCCAUUAAUUAAUUAACCCUUAAUAGAUUAAUCCAUUGAAUGGGAAGAUGUGCCUACUUCCCCUUUGCCUUCCACCGUGACUGUACAUUUCCUGAGGACUCCCUAGCCAUGCUUUCUGUACAGCCUGCUGAACUGCAAGGACCUGGAAAUCAGACACACCUGGGUUCCUGGUGAGCUUCACUGCUUCCUGGUCUCUGAUAUCAGCUCUGCCCAAAUUUCAGCUGUCACAGAAUGAGUGAUCCUCAUAGUAUAAUGGAAAUGCAUCAUCUCAGUUUCCCCAUGGCCUGAAUGUCCAUACAAAAUGAGAGCCAGUAGAGAAAAACAGAGGACGUGAGGAGUUUUUAAAAAUUGAGGAAAAGUGGAAGGAAAAGUAAGGAUGAAGGUGAAGAUGAAGGAAUAUGUCAGAGAUGCUAGCACUGGCAUCCCCCACCACACAGUACCAUGUACUGCUAAAGAACUCUAGAACAUACAGGGUGUAGACGGCAGUCUUCUUGGGGAAAAAGAGGCUUCAGGAUUGCAAGAUUUCAGCUACUGUCUCUCCUCGGAGCAGGAUUCCAUCUUUUCCAUGGCUGGGGCCCUUGACACAUGUCACUGUGCACUGCUCUUCUCGCUGGGGAAAAGGAAACUGAGGCCCAGAGAGGGCAAGUGAAUUUCCCAAGAGUGUCCAGAUGAUACGGAGCUGAGCUGGAAAGUGAGCCUGGAUCUCUCUGGUUCUGAAAGCUUUGCUCGAAAGCACAGGAUGACACCUCCAUUGACUUGAAUCUUGCUUUCUGACAUGCUGGCUGUGGCUUGCUUGGGACCUGAAUAAGAGCUUGCUUACUCCCGGUGUUCACCACAGCGGAACCAUGGGUGCAGAAAUGUAAUUCUCUGCACUAUCUUUCUGGAAUUGGGAGGGGCACAGAAGCAGGAAAAGUGAAUUCCAGGAAAGUUGUUGCAUGUUGGAAGCUGUGUUGUGGGGAAGUGACAAGUUGCUUGCUAUCUGAAUGGGGAUGGGAUCCUUUGUGAAGGCAGCAUGAAUCACCAACAGGUAGGAUUAGAUGGAUGAUGGUUGUAUUUGGAAUUGUAGCCACACCCUUGGGACUGCAGCCCUGUGAAGACUGAGGUUCUGACGAAAGUCAAGAAAAAUCUGCAUUGCAACUCUUCGAAGAGAAGAAUGUGACAUCUUGAGUGGGUGAAUUUUACUUUCUUCUUGAUAGUGUUUUAAAAUUUUUAGAAAUGUUUUGCAAUGUCUUAAAAGUGACCUUCUACCCAGAAUUUGGUUAAUGUUCAGUUUUAUUUCCUUCUUAUUUUUCUGAGUAUUUACUUUUUCAAUUCAGCUGAAACUUUUCAAGAAUACCAUGACCUUUCUCUCCUUUUAAAAAAAAAGUUUCAAACAGACAAUGUUAAAACAGAAGAAGUUUUGGAAAUCAACUACUUAAUCUAUUAUGAUAUGGAAACUGUAAACUAAAACUGUUCAUAUCCACUCCCCAAGAUUACAUCAAGAGUGGCAGGGCUGGGACACCAGAGUUUCCGGAAUGGCUCCUCAGGGCUCCAGCUGCAACAAACUCGCUGUGCCAAUGUGCAUGCAGUUCCUGAUUCUAAUCAAAUAAGUAUCAUAACCGAGUUCACCCGAAAUAGAGUAUACUGCACAGAAACUUAAUAAUGGGUGAGAAAGACACAUUCGUGACAUUAGCAAUUAUUACCAUACGUGGUCAAAUCCAUUUUUAUUUUCUGUUUUCUCAUUUUGUGAGUCCUCUGGGAUCUACACACAGGUACCAAUUUUUUGCCUAUUCCUGGCACCGCGCACUGCUUAAUCAUCCUCCCCACACUGACUUUGUUGACCAUGCUCGAUUGUCAAUACCAAUAGUUCUCCAGGGGUGGCUCAGAUACCCACAGGGGUCCCUGAGAUCCUUUAAGGGGUCUGCGAGAUCAAAACAAUUUUCAUAAUAUGUCGUUUUCCAGAGGCAGCUGCAUAAAUCACAGGAGACUGAAUACAGGAGAAGAUGUAAGAAUCCAGUCAGCUUCUAUCAAACCAGACAUAAAAGACAUUUGCAGAUAUGUAAAACAAUGCCACUCUUCACAUUGCAUUUUUAAAAAAUAUUAUUUCCCAGAAAAUAUAUCAUCUAUGUUAAUAUGGAAUGGGGUUUGUUAGAAACCUCUUUAAAUUUCAAGUAAUUAACAAUUUAAAAGGCAGAUAUCUAGAGCUAUAGGAGUACAAUUAAUGAGGACUCAGUCUUCAAAGUCCAAAGCGAGAGCAGAUGGAGAAACAGUUCUCAGCAUUUGGUGUUCUGCGAGCCCUCAUGGGAGGAAGAAUUUGUUCCAGCAUAAAGAGACGUAAGAACGAGUACUAGGAGGCAAAGGAGACAGCAUUGAUAAACCAAGAUAAAGACAUCUAAAUAGGGCUGAGCAUGGAGACUCAUGCUCGUAAUGCUAGUGCUUUGGGAUGCCAAGGCAGGAGAAUCACUUGAGGCUGGGAGUUUGAGACUGACCUGGGCAACAUAGUGAGACGCUGUCUCUACAAAAAAUAAAUAUAAUUAGCCAGGGAUGAUGGUAUGUUGCAGAAGUGGAAUUUAUUCAUAAUUUAUGCAACAAAUACUCAUGAUGUUCAAGGUUCUGGUGUGCAACAGUAAACUUACAUUCCCUCACUUUAGGUUAGUGAGAAUGAAAGAUAAUAAAAAACAAAAAAUAUAUAUAAUUCAAGUGGAUGUAAGUGUUGUGAAGAAAAUACACCAGUGAUCAUAAUAGAAAUGCAAUCUAUUCUCGGCUUGUCAUUAUAUUUUAAUCUUUUUAUGGCCUUUUGUUCUGAUAUUGGUACAUAAAAGUUUAAAUCCUAAUGUAUUAAAAAAGUUUAAUAUCACUAUAAUUUCAGAACUUUAUAUCAUGCUUAUCAUACCAUCCCAUAGUAUGGGGGACUACAGGUGUGCACCAUCAUGGCCAGCUAACUUUGUACUGUCUGUAGAGACGGAAUUUUGCUAUGUUACCCAGGCUGGUCUCAAACCCGAGGGCUCAAGCAAUCCUCCUGCCUCAGCCUCCCAAAGUCCUGGGAUUAAAGGCAUGAGUCACCAUGCCCAGCCAGUGGUUGAAACUCUUAUUAUGGCCAUUCUGCGGAUGAGAAGACUGAGUCAUCAGGAGGCAGGGCUUGCCAAGGUCACUGUGUUGGGGAAACACAGUCAGGAUAUGAACUCAGGCUCUUGGGGUCCCUGCUGGUCACUGUCACCCCGUGGCCCUUCUGAAGAAUGUCACAGGAAAGCAAAGCUGAGAGGGCCUCGUGAACUCAUCCAUGCCUGUCUCCCACACUGACCUGCACCUUUGGUCCCAGAGGUGCUUAUGAAAGACAGAUGCUCAGAUCCCUCCUUAGAGAGUCAGAUUCAGGAGGUCUGAUGUGAAUCCCAGAGACCUGGAAUUUUACUGAUGGCCCAGAUAAUUUUUAUGGUCAGAUACUGACCUAAUUCCACCCAGUUUCCCACUAAAUUUUGUAAGUGAGGAAAGCAAUGCAGAAGAGUUACAGGAAGGCCCAGUGUUACAUGCCCAGGUCAUGGCCCAGGGCCAAGCCAGCCCCAAAGGUGGGACCCUGGUUCUCUUAGCCUUCCCUGACACCUGUCACCCUGGCUGCUGCUCCAGGGAACCCUCUCUCGGGAGAAGCUUGAGCAAAUGUUGAUCUUCCCAGAACAGGGGUCUACAGAAUCCAGAGGUGUGGAAACAGUGGGAUGCUAAUAGCUGUUAGAAUUUUGGUUCAUCCAUAGAUCCAAACUUUGAAGCAUUGAGACAAAAGAUAGCUGUGCUUUGAUAGAGAAAAUAGAUAAGAAAAGGGUGUGAAAUCUGAGUGUCACAGAAGAAAAAGGAAGAGAUGACAAAAGAACCCGGCAGUUCCUAGGAGCCCAGCCCCGGGCAAGCUCUUUCUCCAUGUGUUAUUUCAUUUAAUCCUGAAAACAACGUUAUUAAUUCCUAUCAUUGGUGCUUUACAGAUGAGAAAACCACAGCUUUGACUGAUUAAAUCAUAGCCUUUCUUAACACCAUGAAUUAUACUUUGGGAAAUAGUACUCCAGAGAAGUUCUUCUCAACCAAAGAGUCAGGAUCCAGGGGAAUAGGGGGCUAAGCGUGGACUGGAGGAAUGAAGACACUUGGCUUCCAGCUUUUUGUAUGUCAGUCUCCUUGGUCCACACCACAGAGCUCCUUUGGACAUCAUUAUAUCCGCAAGAUGUAAUCAUUACAUCUUCUCAGGCCAAGCAAGGUACAAAGUGCCAAAAUCUUAAAAGAGGGGGCAUUGGAUAGAAAAUAUUGGACAACCUCUUUUCCUAAGAGAAGAAGAUCUUUAGAAGAAAAUAAAGCUAUUUAUACCUCUGUUUCUAAAUACAACCAUUUUUAUACCUGCCCUGGAGUUGGUUCCCAGAAGAGGAUACCCAUUCCAUGGCUUUCUUUGAAUUGGCAUUUCUAACUUCAAACUAGAGGAAUUAGUCAAAGUUCUUUAACACACUAAACCACCCAUAGGAAUGGAACUCACCAAUAUAGGGGACAGGCAAGCGGGUUUCUGGGUUCUUUAGUCAUUGACAAGGGUUAACAGCUUAAAGGUUAUUGGGGUUUCUGGCUACACGCUAAGAGUCCUGCUUCCUAAUGUAAGCUCCCCUCCCCCACAUUCUUUAAACACAUUACUUCCUCAAGCACUUCCUCUGGCUUAGGGGCGGGGUUGGGGGGAGAAGGAUGCAAAUUUAUCUAAUCUCUAAAAAAAACCUCUGGUAUUUGUGCAGUGAGUUUCAGGCUGAAGAGAAGAGAGAGACCUGCGGCUGUUUCCGCCCACUCGUCCCAGCACAGCCACCAGAGAACGCCGCGUGGUUUGUUGUUUGGACCCUCCCAGAGCCUCUUCCAGAUGCUGUUGGAAAAAAAGAAAAGAAAAGCUGGGCAGCCAGUGUCACAGCCCAGAUGCCAUCUCGGUCUAUCCGCGGAAAUGCAAGCACGCAGCGCCAAGCCCAACCCAGUAGGUGCCAGGCCCUGGGUGCAGGCUUCAGCUUCACGCCACAUCCUCUCUCUCUUUUCAGUCUCUGAGUGACUUGACUCAGCCAGGGAGAGGAGAUACCUACACAUCCGCAUGAAGGCGCGUGGGAGGAAGCCGAGAAAUGACGGAUGGCGCAGGGCCUACUGCAGCCGCACGUAGACUAGCUCCUUCUUUACGGGCAAAACCCCCUACUUGUCUGCAGUGGGAAAGGAGUCCGUUCAGGGCAAGCUCUGAUCGCUGAGCUAUGGAUGAAGAAGUGGGCAGAGCAGGUUCCUUCCUCACCAGCGUCACCUGCUUUUCUCUUCCAAGUUCAAACUCGGCUUAGGUCCCCGCCUAGGGAAAAGGACAUCAGAUUCCAGGACUGGCCUGCUGUACCAGGCGGAGAGCACGAGAAACCUUCCUGCUGUAUGGUGUUUUGGCAUAGAUAUUCUGGAUGUGACUUGAGACUGCUUGCUGUUUCCGGACCAUUUACACCCAUUGUUGUCUUGUGAGCCCAGUCACGGCCUGACACGGAACGCCUCUCAUGUAAUCUUCUCAUAGGAAUCUAACUAAUGCAGAGUGCUGUGGCAUUGUCAGCCCUCAUCUUACACACUGCUCAGGAUGCAAAGGUGGCUAGUAUAGUAACAUCUGCCUCUUUAGCAAGAGCCUCAGUUGCUCCAAUUUAAAUACGGGGAGGGAGCUGGGUGCAGUGGCUUAUGCCUGUAAUCCCAGCGUUUUGGGAGCCAAGGCAGGAAGAUCGCUUGAGCCAAGGAGUUCAAGACCAGCCUGGGCAAAUUAGCAAGACCUCCUCUCUACGAAAUUUUUUUAGAAAACUUAGACAGGAGGCCAGGCCCAGUGGCUCAUGCCUGUAAUCUCAGCACUUUGGGAGGCCAAGGGGGACGGAUCACUUGAGGUCAGGAGUUCGAGAUCAGCCUAGCCAUGAUGGUGAAACCCCUUCUCUACCAAAAAAAUACAAUUACAGGCACGUGGUGGCGCAUGCCUGUAAUCCCAGCUACUCAGGAGGCUGGGGUGGGAGUAUCACUUGAACCUGGGA
This 7970-nucleotide long non-coding RNA is filed under the name Homo sapiens (human). Its description in RNAcentral is "non-protein coding LINC00589:3". Lineage: Eukaryota; Metazoa; Chordata; Mammalia; Primates; Hominidae. The record is from RNAcentral.